Molecule: long non-coding RNA, 278 nt
Filed under: Elaeis guineensis (African oil palm)
Lineage: Eukaryota; Viridiplantae; Streptophyta; Magnoliopsida; Arecales; Arecaceae
Description: long non-coding RNA (EGUI_LNC038222)
Source: RNAcentral
UCUGCUCAUAAUCUCUCAUCCCUCAUUCCCAGUCACAUCUUUGCUUCAUUUCAGCAAUAGACAUUUGUUGCAAGUGUUUGGAUCCAUAAUGCUGGCAAGAUGUCUCAAAUCCCACUUCAUUCCCAUUGCCUAGAGUAUCGUAUUGUAUCCCAGAAACAGGUUCUGUAUGUGAGAACCCAUGCGGGUGUUUUUAGUCCCACAUGGGUUAUGCACUAAAUAGAUCUUUGAGUAUUUAUAUGGGUCCAAGGAACCCAAAUAAUACCUUAUGGCUAGUUCUU